AUGUGGUUUAAUUCGAAGACAACGCGAAGAACCUUACCAGGUCUUGACACUCCCGAUGCUUAUUUCUAGAGAUAGAAAGUUACUUCGGUACAUCGGUGACAGGUGGUGCAUGGUUGUCGUCAGCUCGUGUCGUGAGAUGUUGGGUUAAGUCCCGCAACGAGCGCAACCCUUGUCAUUAGUUGCUACAUUCAGUUGGGCACUCUAAUGAGACUGCCGGUGACAAACCGGAGGAAGGUGGGGAUGACGUCAAGUCCUCAUGGCCCUUAUAGGUGGGGCUACACACGUCAUACAAUGGAUGGUACAAAGGGUCGCCAACCCGCGAGGGGGAGCCAAUCCCAUAAAGCCAUUCGUAGUCCGGAUCGCAGUCUGCAACUCGACUGCGUGAAGUCGGAAUCGCUAGUAAUCGUGGAUCAGAAUGUCACGGUGAAUACGUUCCCGGGUCUU
This 444-nucleotide ribosomal RNA is filed under the name uncultured Polaromonas sp. RNAcentral describes it as "bacterial SSU rRNA". It matches the Rfam family "Bacterial small subunit ribosomal RNA", at positions 939 to 1382 of the family's 1533-position model. Lineage: Bacteria; Pseudomonadati; Pseudomonadota; Betaproteobacteria; Burkholderiales; Comamonadaceae. The record is from RNAcentral.